This 449-nucleotide ribosomal RNA is filed under the name uncultured bacterium. Its description in RNAcentral is "bacterial SSU rRNA". It matches the Rfam family "Bacterial small subunit ribosomal RNA", at positions 29 to 524 of the family's 1533-position model. The record is from RNAcentral.
GCGAACGCUGGCGGCAGGCCUAACACAUGCAAGUCGAACGGAUCCUUCGGGAUUAGUGGCGGACGGGUGAGUAACACGUGGGAACGUGCCUUUUGGUUCGGAACAACUCAGGGAAACUUGAGCUAAUACCGGAUAAGCCUUUCGAGGGAAAGGUUUAUCGCCAUUAGAGCGGCCCGCGUAGGAUUAGCUAGUUGGUGGGGUAAAGGCCCACCAAGGCUACGAUCCUUAGCUGGUCUGAGAGGAUGAUCAGCCACAUUGGGACUGAGACACGGCCCAAACUCCUACGGGAGGCAGCAGUGGGGAAUCUUGCGCAAUGGGCGAAAGCCUGACGCAGCCAUGCCGCGUGAAUGAUGAAGAUCUUAGGAUUGUAAAAUUCUUUCACCGAGGACGAUAAUGACGGUACUCGGAGAAGAAGCCCCGGCUAACUUCGUGCCAGCAGCCGCGGUAAU